Molecule: unclassified non-coding RNA, 316 nt
Filed under: Hevea brasiliensis (rubber tree)
Lineage: Eukaryota; Viridiplantae; Streptophyta; Magnoliopsida; Malpighiales; Euphorbiaceae
Source: RNAcentral
AUGUAUUGUGUGGAAAACAGUAUCGUCUAGAACAGAAAAGCUCGCAUUAACUAUCUCAGCUCCUUCUUCAUGAAGAACUCGAAUAGUCUCAUUGAACAUGAACUGGCUAUCCAAUCCAGUUAUCAAAACAACCUCUAAAGCUGAACCAAUUUCAUGAAUCUCAAUUUUUGGAUAUCUUAGGCGCAUUGUUGCUCCACUACUCACGCUUGUAUUUGGCCUUUCUUGAGUUCCCAUUAAACUUUCUUUCCUUUCCUUCAUUUUCUCCAGAUUUGUCUGCAGCUUUUUUAUAUACUUUGCAGCCUCAUCUAGCUGAUCA